GGUGCGAUGCUAGGUUGCAAUCUUCGGUUGGCGACAUAAUAAUAUAUUGUUGACCAUGACUAUAAACUUCAGAGAUCAAUCGGUUGGUUAACAUAAUACCAAAGCUCAAGUUUAUUAGAGGCUAUAAGUUAUAAAUUCUGGGGAUUACUUGGAUAGUUAAUAUGAUAUCAAAGCACAGGUUUAUUAGAGGUUAUAAGUUUGAAUCCCUUUAUUUCAAUCAUUUUUUUCAUUAUUAUUUGUUAUCUAUUAUCUCAGACUCCAUAUGAAGAGGCUUAUUAAGCCUG
RNAcentral lists this long non-coding RNA (284 nucleotides) under Elaeis guineensis (African oil palm). Its description in RNAcentral is "long non-coding RNA (EGUI_LNC038426)". The record is from RNAcentral. Lineage: Eukaryota; Viridiplantae; Streptophyta; Magnoliopsida; Arecales; Arecaceae.